This 263-nucleotide signal recognition particle RNA is filed under the name Chloroflexota bacterium. Its description in RNAcentral is "signal recognition particle sRNA large type". It matches the Rfam family "Bacterial large signal recognition particle RNA". From Rfam's summary of the family: The signal recognition particle (SRP) is a universally conserved ribonucleoprotein involved in the co-translational targeting of proteins to membranes. Archaeal SRP consists of a 7S RNA and homologues of the eukaryotic SRP19 and SRP54 proteins. In most bacteria, the SRP consists of a 4.5S RNA and the Ffh protein (a homologue of the eukaryotic SRP54 protein). Lineage: Bacteria; Bacillati; Chloroflexota. The record is from RNAcentral.
UCGUGCUAGAUGGGGAGCUGGCGGUGCCCUGAACCCGCAACCCGCCUUAGCGGGGUUGAACUCCCUCUCGAGGUCCGGUUCUGUGGGACUGGCGGCGUCGCGUGAUGUUGAUGGACGGGUCCCGCGCGGCGCGGAACGGUGAACUCGGUCAGGACCGGAAGGUAGCAGCCGUAAGCCGAUCUCCGCGGGUGACGUGGGAGUGCCCACCCGGAGUUAACGAGCGUCGUUAAGCUGGAGAAUUGUGAUCGACAGAGGGUGCACGG